RNAcentral lists this ribosomal RNA (695 nucleotides) under Alteromonas sp. SDDC10. RNAcentral's name for it is "bacterial SSU rRNA". It matches the Rfam family "Bacterial small subunit ribosomal RNA", at positions 385 to 1072 of the family's 1533-position model. Lineage: Bacteria; Pseudomonadati; Pseudomonadota; Gammaproteobacteria; Alteromonadales; Alteromonadaceae. The record is from RNAcentral.
GAUGCAGCCAUGCCGCGUGUGUGAAGAAGGCCUUCGGGUUGUAAAGCACUUUCAGUUGUGAGGAAAAGUUAGUAGUUAAUACCUGCUAGCCGUGACGUUAACAACAGAAGAAGCACCGGCUAACUCCGUGCCAGCAGCCGCGGUAAUACGGAGGGUGCGAGCGUUAAUCGGAAUUACUGGGCGUAAAGCGCACGCAGGCGGUUUGUUAAGCUAGAUGUGAAAGCCCCGGGCUCAACCUGGGAUGGUCAUUUAGAACUGGCAGACUAGAGUCUUGGAGAGGGGAGUGGAAUUCCAGGUGUAGCGGUGAAAUGCGUAGAUAUCUGGAGGAACAUCAGUGGCGAAGGCGACUCCCUGGCCAAAGACUGACGCUCAUGUGCGAAAGUGUGGGUAGCGAACAGGAUUAGAUACCCUGGUAGUCCACACCGUAAACGCUGUCUACUAGCUGUGUGUGUCUUUAAGACGUGCGUAGCGAAGCUAACGCGCUAAGUAGACCGCCUGGGGAGUACGGCCGCAAGGUUAAAACUCAAAUGAAUUGACGGGGGCCCGCACAAGCGGUGGAGCAUGUGGUUUAAUUCGAUGCAACGCGAAGAACCUUACCUACACUUGACAUGCUGAGAAGUUACUAGAGAUAGUUUCGUGCCUUCGGGAACUCAGACACAGGUGCUGCAUGGCUGUCGUCAGCUCGUGUCGUGAGA